This is a long non-coding RNA of Fukomys damarensis (Damara mole-rat), 429 nucleotides long. RefSeq lists it as uncharacterized. The record is from RefSeq and is a predicted model, not a curated record. The transcript is spliced from 3 exons. NCBI's taxonomy places the organism in Eukaryota, Metazoa, Chordata, Mammalia, Rodentia, Bathyergidae.
UUAUCCAGGGGUCAGGCCGGGGGUAGCCAGGAUCUCCAGACACCUGAGGAACCAGAGGAAAGGGGCAGUGCCCUGGUCCAGCUGCAAUUCAGCGAAACAGUGCUGGUAGUUUGAGUGCCUAAGUGCAUUCAGCGUGACAGGAAUCACCACAGAAGAUCAGCGUUCAGUUGGCUCCUGGCCACCCCAAGACUGAACAAGAGAGUCGUGGAAGGCGUUUAUUUACUCUGGAAUCUUUAAUACCCAACUGUCCGCUGCAGUGACUGAAAAACGGAACGUUGGCCCCUUGUUCUCAAAUGUAGCAAAGAUCAAUAGCACAGCAGAUGGGGCCACCCACACCAUGAGGAGACCGCAGCCAAGCUGCCUAAGCUCUGUCCACACCCCUUGGCUGAAGUCUCAGGAGGAUGAACCUGAGGAAGCGGCCUGCGAGAC